UGUCUUGUAAUUGGAAUGAUGGGAAUUUAAACCUCUUCCAGAGUAUCAAUUGGAGGGCAAGUCUGGUGCCAGCAGCCGCGGUAAUUCCAGCUCCAAUAGCGUAUAUUAAAAUUGUUGCAGUUAAAAAGCUCGUAGUUGAAUUUCUGCUACAUUGCCUAUUCUCCUUUACGAGUUUGGGUCUUUUGUGGCUUAUCUGGGUUCGCUUGCGUUCCCGGUGUUUUACUUUGAGAAAAUUAGAGUGCUCAAAGCAGGCUUUUGCCUUGAAUAGUUUAGCAUGGAAUAAUAAAGUAGGACUUUGGUUCUAUUUUGUUGGUUUUAGGUACCAAAGUAAUGGUUAAUAGGAACAGUUGGGGGCAUUCGUAUUUAACUGUCAGAGGUGAAAUUCUUAGAUUUGUUAAAGACGAACUACUGCGAAAGCAUUUGCCAAGGAUGUUUUCAUUAAUCAAGAACGAAAGUUAGGGGAUCGAAGACGAUCAGAUACCGUCGUAGUCCUAACCAUAAACUAUGCCGACUAGAGAUUGGAGGUCGUCAGU
Molecule: ribosomal RNA, 533 nt
Filed under: Theileria velifera
Lineage: Eukaryota; Apicomplexa; Aconoidasida; Piroplasmida; Theileriidae
Description: SSU rRNA
Rfam family: Eukaryotic small subunit ribosomal RNA
Source: RNAcentral